ACAACUCACAGCGAGCCACAAGUCCCGACCUCUCUCCGAUCCCCGCCGGCGCCGCUCACAGCCCCGGCCCGGAAUCCUGCCGGCGGCAUGCCGCGCGGCCGCGACGAGCCGGCCGCCGUGCGCGUCUACACAGUAUGCGACGAGUCCAAGUACCUCAUCGUCCGGAACGUGCCUUCUCUCGGGUGCGGCGACGAGCUCGGCACCCUGUUCUCGUCGUACGGGCCGCUGGAAGAGUGCAAGCCCAUGGAUGCCGAGGACUGCGAGGAGUACACCGACGUCUUCUUCAUCAACUUUUCGCAGCUCAGCAACGCGAGGUUCGCAAAAAGGAAGUUAGAUGAGUCUGUAUUUCUUGGCAACCGGCUGCAGGUGUCAUAUGCACCUCAAUUCGAGAGUAUUUUGGAUACCAAGGAGAAACUGGAAGUCCGGAGAAACGAAGUCCUCGGCCGAAUAAGAUCCUCUGUUGGAAGCAGAUCAGAACGGUUAACUCAGUAUUCUCCAGGGCAGGGAUCUUCUAGUGGGAACUUGCAUCAUCAUAUGAGCCCCAAUAAGAGAUUAUUAUUUCACAUGGAAUACACAAAGACACUUCAUGCUUCUCAUAUCGAAGAUGUUCGUUUCAGUCAUGUGUCCUCUAAUAAGGUAUGUAGUAGUAAUACAAUUUUCAGGCUGAAACCAAGUUGUCCAUUGAUGGAAAUUGGGCCAUUUGGUAAGCAGGCUAGAUCGUGCUUUAAGGGAAUUUUAUUUUUAGAAAAGCUAGGGAGAAGCUCUGGUCAACUAAGAUGCAUUACUGCUAGAAAGACAGCAUUAGUGCGCUUGCUCAUGCGAAGUACUCGGCGAGGGAAAAAUCCGUAACUAUUUGGAAUUGUGGAUAUCCUGCUAGGUGCAAUCUAGCUCAGCUCAUUAGUGCAGCACGUCAUCCAUUAGGAUUUUCCAACAAACCCCUUUUUACCUUUUCAUGGCUUGUGAUUUUCUUUCCUUUCAUGAAAUGCCUUUUGAUCAGUUUGUGGUGGACAUGCCUUUUGAUCGCAGGACUAUUUUCCAUCCGAGUCGAUGAAUGCAACUGUAAAUCUUGUGAGGCAGAAGCUUGAUAAGAUACAGUCUGGCAGUGAUGGUUCCAAUGCUGUAGCUGCGUCCAAGAAACCAAGGGUUGAUGACCGUAGGCGCAUUUGAAUCACUG
Triticum dicoccoides is the source of this 1174-nucleotide RNA transcript. It is a transcript of the gene named RNA-binding protein 48-like, with no coding region annotated. The transcript is spliced from 7 exons. The record is from RefSeq and is a predicted model, not a curated record. NCBI's taxonomy places the organism in Eukaryota, Viridiplantae, Streptophyta, Magnoliopsida, Poales, Poaceae.